GACGAACGCUGGCGGCGUGCUUAACACAUGCAAGUCGAACGGAAAGGCCUCUUUCGGGGGGUACUCGAGUGGCGAACGGGUGAGUAACACGUGAGUAACCUGCCCUUGACUUUGGGAUAACUUCAGGAAACUGGGGCUAAUACCGGAUAGGAGCUCCUGCUGCAUGGUGGGGGUUGGAAAGUUUCGGCGGUUGGGGAUGGACUCGCGGCUUAUCAGCUUGUUGGUGGGGUAGUGGCUUACCAAGGCUUUGACGGGUAGCCGGCCGGAGAGGGUGACCGGCCACAUUGGGACUGGGAUACGGCCCAGACUCCUACGGGAGGCAGCAGUGGGGAAUAUUGCACAAUGGGUGGAAGCCUGAUGCAGCAACGCCGUGUGCGGGAUGACGGACUUCGGGUUGUAAACCGCUUUCGCUCAUGACGAAGCUUUGUGUGACGGUAGUGGGUAAAGAAGCAACGGCUAACUACGUG
Molecule: ribosomal RNA, 467 nt
Filed under: uncultured bacterium
Lineage: Bacteria
Description: partial 16S ribosomal RNA
Rfam family: Bacterial small subunit ribosomal RNA
Source: RNAcentral